Long non-coding RNA from Phasianus colchicus (ring-necked pheasant), 1875 nucleotides. RefSeq lists it as uncharacterized. NCBI's taxonomy places the organism in Eukaryota, Metazoa, Chordata, Aves, Galliformes, Phasianidae. The record is from RefSeq and is a predicted model, not a curated record.
CCACAAAGCCGAGAGGCGGGGCGAGCGGCCCCACGGCCCCGCCCUCUUCGCUCCUCCUCCGCGGGUCGCUGGGCGCGUGCCGCCGGCGCCUCUUCCCCUCCCCCCGCCUCGGGCGCGAGGCGAGAUGAGGCGGGAGCGGCGCGCCGAGCGCGGGCGGCCCUGAGGGACAGCGGGGUGCGGCCGUGCGGCGGCGGGAACGGAGCGCGGGUGCCGUGCCGUCCGCCGAGGGGUCGGAACGCCCCUGUCAGCGCUGUGGGUGUUACGGAGACAGGAGAGUGAAGGCGGUGCCAUGAGACGAUGGAGCGCGAGCUUUCAUUCCUCGCCUCUGUUUGUCUCUCGCGGUUCCGAUGGAAGCAGGUGAAGCUCCGGCAGAUGACAAGCCGCAGCUUUAGGGAUGAAAGCCCGACGCCGAAGGCCGAGAGCGCCGGGACGCCGCAGCGCGCAGGCCUCCCGCCCAGCCCUGCCUCCCGCCCAGCCCGCAGCCCGGCACGGAGCGGCACGGAGCGGCACGGAGCGGCACGGAGCGGCACGGGGCGCCGCGCACAGCCGGCGAUUCCUGCCCUCCUCCCCUCGCCUCCCCGCCCCCAGCUGUCCCUCCCCAAGUUUAACCAGAUUUCUGGUACUUUGCGGAAUAUCGAACAGCUGGGAUCCGUUGCAAUUCAGUGGCUGUGAUUAAAACCUCCAAACCUACGUAACUGCCGUGUCUGUGCUUCGGCUGCUGUUACGUGCUUUUCCCUUAAGUCAUAUUAAUGGCCAUUCUCGAAGAACGGCACAAAAGCUCACGCUUGCACAGUAAAAGUGAAAUGCGUGCCGGCGGCACACCCUGCAAUCCCGGUUACAAUUCGCCCGUCGCUCGGCAGCUCCGAGCCGGCGGCUGAAGGCGGUAAAAGCAGGCGGGUGAGAACCGGGCCGGCUUCCCUUCGCAGGGCAGCGCAGCCGCUUCCCUGCCCGCUGCCUCAGCUGAGUUCGGUGAGGCGUGCGACACAACAACGGCUGGAACGGAGAGAGAGUAGGGGUACAACGCAACUGAGCAGAGGAAACACAUUGAAUCAGAUGUAGUGCAGAAACAACAAGAAUCUUGAGCCGUGUGUUGAUCGACAGCCUGCUGAAGGCAAGCUGUGGUGAGAACAAGUCACUGGAUCUAUGAAUGCCUGACUGUUCUCAGAAGCAGAGGAAGCUGCAGGGGCUGCAGGCAGCUGCUUGCACAGUUGGAAACUGAUCAGGACUCACACGUAGUGAAGCUAAAGACAUGUCCUCCAGAAGGAAAGACAGAUGCCUACUUUGAUUAGAUGGAGUGACUUUCUGUGGCAGCCAGCCCACUGUUUCUGGGGCAAAAUGUAGCAGUGCAGGGUAAGACUUCAAGGCAUCUCACUAUUUUCUAGAAUUAUAUGAAGAUAAAUAUUAUUAAUGAGCUUAUUCUCUUUCACAGUGUAGAGAUGACUAUACAAAGCAAAAAGUAAUGUUGGCCAUGGGAAUCAGCUACUGAACAAGAACAAAACCAAAAGUUAAUCAAAGCCUGUAUUGCAGUUAGUAUGAGUCCAGUGUAAGAUUGAAACAGAAUGAGACAGACUGAUCAGAACUGCAGUAACAAGGAGAAAACAGAUGCUUGUAACAGUGAGAACACAGAACUCUGCACUGUAACUUAACGCUGCAGGCAGCCCUAACUGGAGAAUUAUUUUUAAUAAGAUAUUGUAAAAGUGCCUGAAAAUAUUUCUAGAGGGAAUAUGCACACAGCACACAGCAAUCCCUUCUAUCUUCCUGCUCAGUAGUAUUUUUACAGUCUCGAAUUCACUGGCAACUCCUAGAGCAGUCUCUGCUGCUUUGGCACUUACACUGACCUUAUUCUAGACUAACACAAAUGCCUUAUCUGCCACC